This 111-nucleotide non-coding RNA is filed under the name Sporosarcina sp. RNAcentral describes it as "SAM-I sequence". It matches the Rfam family "SAM riboswitch aptamer (S box leader)". Rfam says of the family: The SAM riboswitch is found upstream of a number of genes which code for proteins involved in methionine or cysteine biosynthesis in Gram-positive bacteria. The SAM riboswitch acts at the level of transcription termination control. Lineage: Bacteria; Bacillati; Bacillota; Bacilli; Caryophanales; Caryophanaceae. RNAcentral also lists the same sequence under 1 other name. The record is from RNAcentral.
CUCUUAUGAAGAGAGGCGGAGGGACUGGCCCUUUGAUGCCUCGGCAACCAUUGAACUUGUUCAAACGGUGCCAAUUCCAGCAGAUUUCUUUGAAAAUCUGACAGAUAAGAG